Molecule: non-coding RNA, 47 nt
Organism: Schistosoma curassoni
Lineage: Eukaryota; Metazoa; Platyhelminthes; Trematoda; Strigeidida; Schistosomatidae
Source: Rfam
GCACUACUGAGGAGUCCCAUACUAGGACGAAACGGCCCUUCAAGUGU